RNAcentral lists this long non-coding RNA (11540 nucleotides) under Citrus maxima (pomelo). RNAcentral describes it as "long non-coding RNA (CMAX_LNC000056)". The record is from RNAcentral. Lineage: Eukaryota; Viridiplantae; Streptophyta; Magnoliopsida; Sapindales; Rutaceae.
AGGGAAUAAAUAACUUUUUAGAAAAUGUUAAAUAAAUGCAAUUGAAAAUAAAAAGAGUGUAGAAGGUACCUCCCUAUGAUGUAUGUAAAUGUGAAAGAGUGACAAAUGUUCGCUCGUUGAUGAUAUAAAAAGCAACCAAGUCCACAGAUUUAUCUUCUGCUCAAUAUCCCAUAUGUAAUACAUUCAGAGUGCAUAAUCUCUCACAACACAACAUCAAUCCAAGAAUAGUGAGUGAGUGGCCAACUGCACCAUGAGUGACCCUAAAUAUGCUUAUCCUUAUCCUGCUCAAGGUACCUUAUUUGUUGUUAUUAUUUUAUCAUUGAUCUGUUCUGGAAAAAUGCUUUCUUUGUGAUUUUCUGUGUUAAAAAAAAAAAAAAAAAAACACACACACAUAUAAAUAUACCCUUUUAAUUACGAUUGAGGAGAAGUGUUAAUGAAUUGAUAAUUUUGUGAUGGCGUGCAGGAUAUUAUCAAGGACCCCCAGUGAUGGCACCUCCUCAGUAUGCAGCAGCUCCACCACCCAGGAGAGAGCCUGGUUUCCUUGAGGGAUGGUAAGUAAUUAUCUAUUUCCAUUUCAUGCAUGUUCUCUUAUGCAUAUCUGCUCAUGUUUCUUUAUUUUUCUUUAGAAUUGGGUUUAUAUUUGUAUGAUCUAAUCUCUCUCUCUCUCUCUCUUUUUAAUUUUUCAUUUGUUUUGGGCUGUAUGCUGUUGCGGUUAUAUGCUGUUGCAGUUUGGCUGCUUUAUGUUGCUGCUGCCUUCUUGACGAGUGCUGCUGCGAUCCCUCUAUAAUCUUUAUCGACUAAUUAAUGAUGAUGAUAAUAAUAAUAAUAAUAAUCCGGUAAUUUCAGUGUUAGUAAUUUCACCUACUUUAUGUCUAUUGGAAUAUAUAUAGUGUCAAUGAUGAACUUGCCUGAAGCAUGAACUUGCUCAUUUCUGGGGUCAUUAUAAAUUUUUUUGCCUUUUUUUUUAAAAAAUUUUUCUAUCUGUUAGAGUCGUUCAUGCAAUUCAGGAGGAUUUCCGCUAGGAUUUGCUCUGGGUGUAAUGUUGGUCUUGGUGCUUGAUUGUAUAACUUUUUUUUUCCCCCCUUGAAAUUUUCAUUUUGUGGGUUGAUAAUAAGAAGGUAAGAAAAUUAUGGUCCUUGUGGAUCAAUAUUUUGUGGAAUCCGUGGGCAAAAUCUCUUCGUAAUGAGUGUUUCACACUUUUCACUUUCACCGAUUGAAUUAUUAAAUUGGUAGAUGACAGAGGAAUGUGGCCACUUUUUUGAAUUUGGUGCAUAAGCCUGCGUGGUGUGGGGACUGUCCAUUUGACUAGAAAGUGCGGUGCUGCUCGUUUUUCUCUCCCUAAAUAGGAUCGGGAUCCUUUCUCCCCCUCCAAAAAAAAAAAUAAAUAAAUAAAUAAAAAUCACAUAAUAAAUGAUUAUUAAGGAGGUUUGUUGGGUUGAGCUGUCAAAAGUGUCUAAAUUCAAUCUAGUGGAGUGGACAGUGAACUGGAGGUUUGGUGCCUGGUCGCACCCAACACACGUGUGCACGCGUACACACACACACGCUCACAAACAAAAUUCGGAUUAAAUCAAAAUGCGAGAAUUUAUAUUAUUAUUAAUAUUGCAUGAUUGGGGGUUGUUUUAAAUUAUUAAGUAAUCACUAAUUUGAUAAUUUAACACUCAAGAAGUGCUUGGUAAAUUCAAUUUGAAAGUGAUUAUUAAUAAAUUUGAUUCUCUAAAAGUUAGAUUUUGUAUUGAUUUUUUAAAGUAGCUUUAAAAAAAUUAGAUUUUGAAAAAAUACGAUAACAAGUGUACCUUCAUAAUAAUAUAUAUUUUCAAAAAUAGAGUUACUAAAAAAUUUAAUUUAACCAAUAAAGUGUUGGCUCCACUGGCAAUGGAGUCCCCUUAAGUGGCUUGACUAUGUUUGUUCCCCAGUUCGAGUCACAGGGAAAUCGCCUUUGUUGGGAGAACCUGUGUCUCCCGGUUCGAGCGGGGACUUUUAGUCUGGGUUGUGGUACGGGCUUAAAGGUGCCUCCCACAGUUGGAGCCCUCCACAGGAUACCUCGUGAUUAAUAUAAAAAAAAAUUUAAUUUAAAUUCAUGUUUAUAAAUUAAAAUUUUAAAAAUGAAAACCUGAUCAUCAAUCUCUUAAUAUUCCUUUGUCGGUCAUGGCACCGUCUCCGCCGAUCAAAAAAUUGACUUAAGCUAACAAAUCACAUACCAUCGGAUCUUAAAUUUGUCGAUCUAUUCAAUAAUAGUAACUUUUAUUGAAAAAAUAGGCCAUGUUGGAUCAAGGAGCUUGUUGCAACUUCUUAGCAGGUAACCCAUCAUUGAAUUUCUCAAACUUUAGCACAUUUAGUUAUGGAGUUUUGAAACGAAGAUUGCCGUCUCCUCUGAAAACUAAUUGGUAAUCAAAGAAUGGAUAUUGGACCAUUUAAGUAUUUAACGUCAUUACCUCGUGUUCUUAGGGGUGGUAGCUAGCCCUCCACGAGGCCAAGAAUCUGUCAAUUAGCAAUGCAUUGGGGACUCGAUCUAUCCUACGCCCACGUUUUGACAUAGCUAUUAGUUGAUACAGUGUCAGUCCACUCCGCUAGUUGACUUGGCCACACCCGAGCCUCCACCGUCCACGAUACUAACACACUGCUGGGUGGUUGAUAUGGUGCUAGGCUAGCCCACCUAUCGAACAUGUGACUAGGCUUUGAUACCACUUACUGGAUCGAGUCGCUUGUUGCAACUUUCUAGUAGGUUGUCCGCCAUUGAAUUUCAAUAUUUGGUACUAAAUUUGUCUUCGAAUUCAUUGAUAGCAUGAAAUUGUUGCUGCUUUAUUUUUAAGUUAUUGAAUGAUUCUUAUUAAUAUAAAACAAAAAAAAAAUUGAUUUUAUAUAAUUAAUUUAUUAUUUACUUCUUAAAGAGUAAUAUUAUAUAUAUGGUAAAUAUAUUACAUUCAUUAGGAUUGACAAUUAAUUCAAUUUUUUUUUACUUUCUAUUUAUGGGUCGUACUGUUGGACCAAAAAUAGAAUAUGCAUCAUAAGGCCCAAAUAAAUUUAACCCCAAUAAGACCCAUCUAAUAAAUUUUUUCCCAAUUAAGCCCACGAAGUGGUGAACAAACCACCUAUAAUGUUUCUCCUAAGUAACAAGGUUUCAAAACCCAAAAGGAGCCGAGGUCCUAGGUUCUAAUACUAAGACGAACCACUUAGGAUAAAUCAACUAGGUGGGAAGAAUUCAAAGCCCAAAACAUGCCGAGGUUCUAGACUCUUAUCUUAGGACGAACCUCCUAAGUUUGGAGGCUCAUAUAAUUCCAAGGUUUUAGUAAAAAUAACAUAAGGAUAAAACGUUUAUUCCUUUAAUCCACAGACAAGUUGUAUAUCCAUGUGUCAAUCAACAUGGUCACUAAAAGAUAAAUGUUGUCAAAUGUCACAAGAAUGAUGACAUUUGUCAUCAAAAUAACUACCACUCAAGUCAAAUUAGUUUGGCCGAUAAAUGUGUCUUUCAGUCUCACUAAAAGGUAAGACAAAAAGAGACUCAAAAUGAGAAAAUGCUAACUUUCUCCCUCUAAUAUUUCUCUUUCUAAAUUUAUAUUUCCAAAAGUCCGGUGACUGACUUGACCGUCGGAGGGUUUACGCCGGCAAAGCCGGCCCUCUGAUCAUUUUCUUGUGUUUGUAGAGUAUCACUAGACAAGAACAUUCCGAUUGCUUAAGGAAAUGGACUGAGAAGAAGAUAUAUAAAGGCCCAUCAAGAUCAGGCCAACAAAGAAGAAUCCAAAUUCUAAGGGGGUCGUCAUCAGUCGAAACCGUCAUAUCAUAAGUUGAGACAAAAUUUGCACCAACAUGUAAUAUUAGUGAAAAUAAUGUUUCUAUUUUUUCGUCAUUUGGAAGUAAAUGAUUUAUUUGUAUGAUUGAUUUACCGAAUACACAUAGUAAAAUAUUUGACGUAUGGCUGCGUAAUAAUUUAAAGUUACCAAACAUCUUACAUAAAAUGUCUCUAAAGCUGAUUAUUUGAGAAUUCAUGUUAGAAUUCAUUUUUCUAGAAGCUAGGGGGGCAAUCACAAACAUAUCCUGAUUUUUUUGAAAGGGAAAACAAUCCAAACACAUCCUUGGUUGUUGUUUGCUAAUAAUUUAUUCUCCCCCGUAACGAGGGUCAAUAUACGAGCUACGUCGCUUAAGUUCAUCGAUUGACAUUUCAUAAACCUAUAUUAUAUUAUAUUAUAUUAUAUUUAUCAGUAGAAUUCAACAAUUCGACUCAAAAUAAAUUUAAUUAAAGCCCAAGGUGACAGUCAACGGAAAUCUGAGAAGUCUAAGCCUUAUCCACAUGAUCUGAAUUACAAUUGGAUUCAAUUGAAUUGGAACCACCAUUAUCCGUAAUCCAUCUUAUUACUGUUUUUUCUUCAAAAACAGUAAUAAGGAAGUCGCCAGUGUUUUUCUUGGAACAGAAUUUUAAUUUGAAGUAAAAAUAUGAAUUUAUCCGUUGAUACUUGUUUUGUUGGACGAUUUAGCAGUUAGUGCAGGGCCGCUCGUGGGCUUAAAGCCCAAUAAUUAGCGAUCCCUGUUUCUAAAGGUUAGGCCCGCAAAGUCAGUAAAUAAUUAAUUAAAUAAGCAAAUCAACAAAAACAUAAGAAAGAGUAAUUAUAAUUCAGUGCUGGGUUUGUUUUUUUUUUUUUUUUUCUCACAGACAAUUUUAUCAUUUAUGAAAAUUAUAAAACAAAACAUUCAAAUUAAGAUGCGAGUGCAAAUCUGAAUCCUCAGUAUUUAAAUAAAUUUCCGUUUACGCGUACCGGCAUAAGAAAACGUCGGCUAAGUCAUUGAGAUGUACGUGCGUAUCUCCAGUACCUCCGCGGAAAGAGCACAUGGACGCCGAGGAAAGUUCAAAGUUUACUUAAUUUUCUUAAACUCUGUAAAUCUGUGAGACGAUUAUGCAUGAAUGAAUUCUGAUAUAUGAGUCGAAUCAACGUAUUUUUGAAAACAUUGCAACCGUAGGAUUUUAAAAUAAUAUAUUUAUUUGUCGUUUUAUCAUUAAGUUAUUUCCUAAACGUGCCGCGUGCGGCAACGUGUCCUCAAAAAGAAAUCACAGGGCAUUUGUAAAUCUGGGCAUUUACUUUUAUGUGUGUGUGUGUUUAAUAAAUUAUGUAAAUCUGCAUAAUAAGUAGGAAGUAGGUGAGAAACAAUACUGUAGGAACAACAAAUACCUCUUACCUUAAAAGAGAGGAGCUACUCGCAUCCCUUCAUAAUCCAUACAAAAUCUCUUUUGCUGAAAACACCCAAUAGGAAUAAAUGAAAAUUUUGAUCACUUUUAAAAACAUCCCUUUUUAUUCCACAAUUAACCCUUCCCAUAAAUCCUGGUAAAAUAGGAUGAUUCUUUGCAAAAAAAAAAAUUAACAAUUUUAAGUUUCUUAACUCAUCUUUCUCCUUUUCAAACUUGCCUUUACAAUUUCCUCAACUCUGUUAAGAGUGUUUUGUUUUUGUUUUAAAAUUAUCUCUGAUUAUUUAUUUAUUCAAACUUGCCUUUACAAUUUCCUCAACUCUGUUAAGAGUGUCUUGUUUUUGCUUUUAAAUUAUCUCUGAUUAUUUAUUUAUUUAUGAAUAUAUUGGAAGUGAAAUCCUUGAAAUGUUUUGGCAUCUAUAUAACAGCCAGUAGCCAAUAACUAUGUUUCACUAUAUGAAUGAAAAUUGCAAACGAUACAAGAGCAGGGGGGGUGUGAUUGAAUUUAGGGGUUAAGUUUGUAAGUAGAAAUAAAAAAGGUUUUCUAUCAGGAGUAGGAGUUUUGAGGCUACGAGUGACGAGGGGCUAGGGAGAAGGAAAAUGUCCAGCAGAUGGCCAAGUUGCACACGUGGCGGACAGGUAAUACCCCGUUGACGAUGAUAAUUGCUGACUUGGCAUAUUAGAAAUCCUAGCAAACGCUUAUAUUUGGCGGGAGAAGAUUUCCCAAGAAUUAAGAGAAAAAAAAUGAAAAACAGAAAGAUAUCUUCGCUGGCUCUUCCCUGAUUGAACCCCGCCGCACACGUCAUUCUGGUGUGCCUCGCAAUUUCUUUCCUGAUUUCGCCCUUCCCAUCCAAAUUCAAAAAGCUUGUCGUUUUCGCUUUCUUCCCCCCACUAUAUUUGAUAAUAAUAAUAAUAAUUUAAUAUAUUUCCAAAAAUUUGAAUUCCCACGCGAGGAGAUAUCAUCCAACGGCGGAUGACUAGCCACGUGGGCCACCUCCUCAGAUCUGAACCAUAAGUGACAGAUGGACACGGUUCGUCGAUGAUUUAAAGAGAUCCAAACCGUGAGAUCCAAGAUCUACGGCUGAACACCUGCCCGAUAAAUUCACGGGCAGAUGUGGGUGGCCUUUAAGAAGUUGGGGUGGUGCUUCUCACGUUUAUGCACAGCAUACGGCCCAGGCCACACUCACAGAGAGGGCAGCAGCUGAAGCCGUCAUUUUCCCCUUUUGCCCUCUUGUUCUCUCUCUCUCUUUCUGGCUCUCAGUGCUUUUAUCACAACUUUUUAAGUGCUCAUAACUACUUUAUCCAGUGAUGAUUUCCCGCCAUUUUUGGCUACUGCCCCGCCGGUGAUUUUAAAGAAAGAAAACGACGAGUGGGUUUUGGUAAAUGGCACCGGCCGCUCUGCCCAGUCGAAAUGAGCCGUGUUGGGGAGAGCCCAAGGUUUAUGCGAGGAGGCACUCGAGCGCAACCACCACCACCACUGUCGCCACCUCCGCUGCGAACUAUAGGGACACUAAGAAUAACAACAUUCCUAAAUGCAACAAUCCUCCUCUUUUCCAAUCAAAACCUAACCCGAAUCAGAACAAAGAGACCCGAGCACAUGAUCCAACGAGCAACGUGCAUUUCAAGAAGACUCCUACGCCGGCCCAACCCCAAUCCCUACCCGAAUCGGAUUAUGUGACGUUCAAUCUUGGUGCGUACACGAGGCGAGAACUCAAGGACCUGAGAAAGCGCCUGGUCUCUGAUCUUGAAAGGGUCCGGAACCUCGGAUCUCGGAUCGCGAACUCAGACUUCCAAGCCACACACGCUUACCCAACAACGAAGAGUCAAAACAGGGGAGGUUCGAAACGGGCCAACCCGUUUGGAAACCCGAAGGCGAAACGAGCAGCCGCGGGGACAUCGUCAUUAACAUCAACAAAGAAUGCGAUGCGAAGGUGUGGUGAGAUACUGACAAAGCUGAUGAAGGACAAACAGGGGUGGGCUUUCAACACCCCCGUGGAUGUCGUCUCGUUGCGUCUCCGCGACUAUCAUGACAUCAUCAAGAAGCCGAUGGAUUUGGGGACGGUCAGGUCAAAACUGGAAAACAAUAUUUACAAGUGUCCGCAGGAAUUCGCAGAAGAUGUGAGACUCACCUUUAACAACGCGCUGGUGUACAAUCCUAAGGGUCACUAUGUUUACGCAAUGGCAGAGACCUUGUCAGCUAAAUUCGAGCAAAUGUUUCAGAAAUUGUCCAAGCAGCAGCAACGGCAGGGGAUUUUGGUUAAUAAGGAAGAAGAAGCAGCAUUGGUGAGGGGGAGGGGGAAGGGAAGGGGAAAAGCGAGGGAGAUGAGUUUGGAAGAGAAGAUGGCGUUGGGGAGGAGUCUGGAGGAGUUGCCGCAAGAGGAAUUGGGAAAGUUGUUGGGUAUUGUUAAGAAGAGAAAUAGUGGUAAUGGGAGUUUGUCUUGCCAUGGGGAUGAGAUUGAGCUGGAUAUUGAGGCGCUUGAUAAUGAUACGCUGUCGCAACUUGUUCGAUUCGUGGAUAAUUUUAAGAAAGCUGAGAAGGAUAAAACCGAGAAGGAACCCAUGUGCAGCCAAGUUGCAGUUGCAGUUGCAGCACCAGUGGUGAUUGAGAGGAGCAAGAAAGGGGACGUUGCUGCGGAGGAGGAGGUGGACAUCGGAGAGGAGAUUCCGGUGCAAAAUUACCCGCCAGUGGUGAUUGAGAGGGAUGAUGCUUCAAGUGGCACCUCUACUUCCAGCACUGAUUCGGAGGAUUCCUCUUCCUCUACCUCUAGUGGUAUUUAUCAUUACUAUCAUAAAGCUCAAGCUCUUUUUAUUUAUUUUGUUUUGAUUUGUUUGUGGAAAUAUUAGAACGUAGUCUAGUUUCAGUCGAUGAGGUGAAUGAUAUGUGACUGUGGGUUGUGCGUGCUGCAGGUUCGGGGAGUAGUUCAUCAUCUGAUGAUGACACUGCCCAAUCACCAUUUCCUGGAGCCUAAAGAAAUGCCCACCAUGACGACCCAUCAAGCUUCUUGAAUUUUUUUUGAAGAUUAUUACUAUUGUAUUUGUUUUGGGGAAACUACUAUUUGCUGGACUUGCUGAUGGGUGGUGGUGAAAAUGUCCAAUUUGUAAUGGUUGUAAAGUGAGGAUUUUGACGGCUAGCCAGCGCACUAGUUUUUAAGUGACUUGAUUAGGAAACUAGGUGUAUGUAAUUAGGUGUCUGUUUUUAGCUUUAGUUGGUGACUUGGUGGGUGUACUGGAUCAAACAUAAAGAUGAAGUGUAAAAAGAAUUGGAUUUGUGGCCAAAAAAAAAAAAAAUUAGGGCUUCACCAUCUCAGGCAUCAGUAGAAUGGCCACAGAGACAUAGCUGAAGAAUUAUGUACAGAGAGAGGAUACUGGAUACCGUCAUUACCAUGUUCAUAUGCGCAAUGAGAAAAAAGUUUUUAUUUUUAUUUUUAUUUUUUUUCAAAUUUGUCUAAUUGCUCUGUGGGAAUUACUGCUUCUGCAUGUGAUGUGUGUCCUUUUAUCUCACGAGUCAUCAUGAUAUAUAGGCAGCUUUGCUGGUCAUUUUGCCCCGGCUUUACUCCUUCCAUUUUCCUGGCUAUUUUCACCUUUCUGUAUGCCUUUCCUUUUACCCUUAUUUUAAAAGCUCGCACUUUUUGUUUGGUUUUUUGACUCCAUAUUGAUUGAUGAUCAAGUGAUUCACCUAUUAACGAACCUUUUACUUCUAUAAAUGAACUUUCUGUCUUAAUCCCAUGUUGCUCGGCGAAUUUUGCAGCAAGAAAUAGCGCUACUCCUAUUAAAGAUUUCCCGCAUCAUUUUGCAACAAGAAAUAGCGUUUCGCUAUCAAUAUUUCAGUAGUGCUAUUUCUGAUUCUCGGAUUCCCUUUGUGUUUAAUUUUUUCAUUGUAUAUCCCCGAAGGAAACAUGGGCAUAAACCUUGUGGCAGGGCUGAUAAAAAUUCAAUUUGAUGACGCUGGAGCACCUACUGGCAUUUGUACUGGCAAGGAUUUAAGAGCUAUUGUUUCCCAUGCUUUCUCAAUAUGGAUGAAAGAAUUGACCCUUUUUCAUUUAUAUUGCCUUUCCGUUGUCUUCGCUAUCUAGAAUGAGACAGGGUAAUUUUUACUAUUUCCCCCUGAACUUGGUCCAACCCAAAGCUUGAUGGAUAGAUUUCAUGUCCAAAUAUGUUUAACUCAUUACAAAACUUUUCUUCAAAAAUAUUAGACUUCAUUAAUAACGUGGACACCUACAAAAUAAAUCUUUUCUCCUCUUUAAAUGGUGACGGUAAUCAGGUAUCUCUCGAUCGAAGACUUAUAUAAAUCUUGAAGGAGUUGGCUGGAGAGGAAAAAAGAAAAAGAGAGAGGUAAAUGGUUCUUCUACAGCUUAAUAUCUAUCAUUGUUAUAGGUCCAAGUUCAAAUGAGUUUUGAUCAAAGAUAUGUCAUUUACUGAAUACGUCCAUUCAAAUCAGUUGGAAGUAUGAUAAUUCAAGACAGGAAUUCAUUGAAGCAGAGAAGAUAUGUGAAGAGUAAUAUAAGUAACCAAGCUAAGGAUUGGAAAAACACACAGCAUAAUCUUCACAGGAGAUACAAGAAAAUAAAAUAAAACAUUUUCUGAAUCAUGCACGGCCAAGAUUUCAUCACAGGAUGCCAUACAUUAUUGAUAAGUACUCAGGCCACUGGAAACGAAGUGCUUCCAGCAUCCAACACGAUAUACAGAAUACAAACUUCAUAUAACAGCAGAUUCUUUUACUUAGCAAGAUAGACACUAUACAAGUAGUAGCAGCAACCCUGUCAGGGCAUAAGUCUGGAGAGUUUAGUCCAGUCUUCCAAGAUGCUUAGAGAUCAAGCAACUACAGUCUCAUUCAUGGAGACAGAUGUUUCUUUUGACUGCUCCUCAUUGCAAGCAUUACCAACUUUGUAUUCGGAUGCAGAUUUAGCAACAAGAUUACCUCCACAGCCACCGCCGCAGCCACCACAGCCACCAGUCUUAACCGUGUUUCCACACCCUGCUCCACAACCACCAGAGCCACACCCACCAGUCUUAACCAUGUUCCCACACCCUGCUCCACAACCACCAGAGCCACACCCCCCUCCACAAUCACCACCACCACAUCCAGUACUUUUCACCAGGGCUGCACACCCGCCACCACAACCACCACCACAACCGCCACCACAACCGCCACCACAUCCACCACCACAUCCACCACCGUUCACCAUGUUUCCACAACCUCCACCUCCCCCACCACACCCGCCGCAUCCGCUACUUUUCACACUUGCUACACGUCCACCACCACAACCACUGCCACAUCCUCCACAGCCACCACUGUUCACCUCAUUAGUCAUGUUCUUGUUCAACUCUGGUUCAUCUCCUACAGGAGGGAUCAUUUUGGUACAUAUGCCCUCCUCUUGUAACCCUUCAACACUAUCAGAUGCACUCUUCAUCUCCUUCAUAACUUCAUUGUUAGCAGUGAAGCCAUCAUAUCCUUCCUUCAAAGCAUCUGAAAGUAUAAAAGCUGAUAUGAUUCCCAGUAACAGAAACCAUUCUUCUUUUACCUACAUUGUUUUAGACAGCAACACACAUGCUGUAAGUGAUGAAUUCCCCUUUGCUUUCAUAACAUUUGGCAAAUAGAACUAUUGUACCUUGAUGACUCCAGAUUUCAAGUCAAGCAAUGCAAUUGCUUUUCCGUACGGAUCUGCUGGUGAAAAUUCAACGGCUGUCACAAAGUCUUCUUCAGAUCUCUGCUUCUGACAAUGUUUGUGUUCAUAAUCCAGCUUUCUGCCUGGAAAGAGGUUAAUCUACUCCAAAGAAGAUAAGCACAAAAUCAUAAAAUUGAUCAAAACUCAAACAAGAAGAAGAUGUAUGGGAAUGGAUGUAUUAAAAUGCAAGGAAUAAACCGCAAGUAUAUUGCAUUUGGGAAAAGCACCAAAACCUAGCCAGUCAAAUUGAAAUAAUAAAUAAACUAAAGUGAUUUUCCACCAAUAUAUUAGGAACUCAAACUAUGGAAAGCAUGAUCCUGGUUGGUAUGAAUACAACCCCUUGAGUUCAAUGAACGAACUUCUUAUGAAAUGUAUUGCACUAGCUAUCACAUAAGUUGGCAAAUUUAGAGCUCCGGGGUCCAUGCAAGUAGUCCACAGCAUGAGCGGGGUUGUAUCAACAUUCUAGUUUGCAAUAACUAUGAACUUAUCUAUUAAAUCAGCUCCACAGGACAGUCUUUGAAGAUAAACUUAAAACAGUAAAGUGAAUGGUGGAAAUUCACUUUACAGUGCAAAAUUUUACAUUCUUCGGGCAUAUGGAUGGGCAAUUUUCAAAUAAGAAUGUACCGAAAAUUCCAACAGGGCCCAGACAGAUAAGACAAUGGAGACUGAGGAGAAGCAAGAACAUGAUAGAUACAUACCAU